UGAUUCAACGUGAUUCGGUUGAAAUUUCUCGGCCUCGUGUUAGUUUCGUUGAACGCGAGAAACCGAUAACAAGAAUCCGGUGAGUUGAUCGGUUAAUUGGCGAAGUCAUAUUUCGCUCGGCAUACGCGAUAGCGAGGAGAGUCUAAUUAGGGCUUGAAUCUUCGAAUUGACGAUGAUGGAACAAUACGAACCAUGAGCUGAAGGAUGAACGCGGCGAUUCCGAACGCGGCGCGUUAGAGACCGGAGGCAAUCUACGAUGUGGAUCAAUUGCAAGGGCGUGAGAGCGUCGAAAUUUCGCCGUAGAAUUGACCUAGGUUCGUUGCAUAAACGUUUUCCAGAUGGGUGUUUGGCGCUCGCAUAAUCACUUUUUUCCAUCUUUUGGUUUCGUUCAUGGAUUAGGAUUCUUUCUGCAUAAUCGCUUUUCACUUCAAAUCCGCUUAAGGGGAAGGGAGUUUUGGAUUGGGGUAAUGGAAUACGUUGGAGUUUGGGGCCAUUAUCGUUAUCUGUUGAUCCAUGUUCUUCCUUCAGUCUAAUCCACCCUUCUGAGUUCUUUCGGGCUUAACGCCAUCUGAGCCCAAGGAAUGAUUCAAGCCCUAAUUCGACUCUCCUCGCUAUCGCGUAUGCCGAGCGAAAUAUGACUUCGCCAAUUAACCGAUCAACUCACCGGAUUCUUGUUAUCGGUUUCUCGCGUUCAACGAAACUAACACGAGGCCGAGAAAUUUCAACCGAAUCACGUUGAAUCAAAGCCAAGAUCUCGCCUAUACAAGUUAUGGUAUGUCGAAGCAACUUACCGGAUUGAAGCGACUCGGAGAUUCUUCGGCGGCAACGGGUAUUAUCGAUUACUCUUCUCUUUCACCUUCAAUCCUUGCGUGCGUCCUUCCUCUGGAUUAGAACUGUAGUGGCUUAGCUCAAGCAAAAUUGAAGCUUCAAUGGCUUCUUUGAGAGAGAAUGAGAGCUUUGGUGAGGGUGAGAGAGUUUGCAUGGCUCUGAAUUCGCAGGGUUCCAAAACUGUCCAAAAAUGAGAAUGAUGAAGGGUUUAUAUAGGAUUUAGGAUUGGAGUUAGUUAAUUAGGUUUGAAGUUAGUUGAACUGGACUCACUGAGUUAACAUCAGUUGGUUAUUGGAUCAAAACUCAGUUAGUUAUGUCCACUUAAUGAGUUAACAUCAGUUGGUUAUUGGAUCAAAACUCAGUUAGUUAUGUCCACUUAAUGCAUUGUUAACAAUUUGAAUUUUGUUUACUGGUUAUCACAGGUUGAUUUAAGUUGAAUUGCUCUUAAAAUGAAGGAUGACCUGCUGAGCAGGUUUUGAUGAUUAGUGUAAUGGAGUCAAGCCAGGUUGUUUUAGUGAAAUGGUGAAGCUGAAUGUUGAUGGCUGUAGCAGGUUGGUUGUCGUUGGCGGCUGGCGUGGGUGGUUGAGUGGAAUCCGGCUCUACCGAGUUUGCUGUAUAAUGCUUCGGGUGCAGAGUUGUUGUGAUAUGCUUCCAUUUCACCCGUGUUCGGUGCUGGAUUUGCUUUUGCAGGGUUAGCUGGGUGUCUUUUUUCAUGAUUGAAUCGUACCACAAUGCAAGUAACGUUAUCAGCACUGCCGUGAUUAAAUGCGGCUUCUGUUAACUUCCGAGCAGCUGCCUCGGCUGCCUCUUCCGCCCGUGCAAUUGAAACAUCAUCAUCAUUUUGUACUACAUCCAACCACCUCGGUUUCUUCAUCCAUUUUCUGCUCCUGGAUCUCAGGUUCUGCUACAACAAAUGGCUUCAGCAUACGGUUGCCAAACGCAUGAGACAUUGCUAGCACCCCUCCAACCCUCACAGUAAGGAUGGUAUAUUUGGCGUUUGUGAAUCCGAUUACCAGUUGUGGAGUUUGUUUGUAUUGUUAAUAGGAGCAUAUUAAUCAAUGAUCAUGUUAAUGACUAUGCACUACGUUAUUUUGUUAAGUUAGUUUCUUCGCAAUUCCUGUUAACUAAAAAAAUAUUACUAUUAGUAGAUAUCUAUUACUGUCAUUAGAAGUCAGCUAGAAAUUGCAAGUGCAGCCCUGUUAUUGAUGUUGUGCUGCUCAGGAGGGAAUUGCAAUGUUAUUAUGCGUAGUUGCCGCAACAUGAGUUGGAUAUGGAGUUAAAGGGAAAUGUUUCUUGAAUAGGGAAGUUAUCAUUGCUGCUAACUUUUACAAUGCAAUGUUGUAAUUACUAAUUAUGCAUCGGUAUAACAUGGCGACACCAAUUGUGUAUAUAUCAUUCAAUAGCAUAAUAGAAAUCUUACUUUUUCUAUUA
Molecule: long non-coding RNA, 2259 nt
Organism: Lathyrus oleraceus (garden pea)
Lineage: Eukaryota; Viridiplantae; Streptophyta; Magnoliopsida; Fabales; Fabaceae
Exons: 2
Source: RefSeq, a predicted model, not a curated record